GAUGAACGCUGGCGGCGUGCUUAACACAUGCAAGUCGAACGGUGAAGCAGAGCUUGCUCUGUGGAUCAGUGGCGAACGGGUGAGUAACACGUGAGCAAUCUGCCCCUGACUCUGGGAUAACAGUUGGAAACAGCUGCUAAUACCGGAUAUGAGACGUGACCGCAUGGUCGACGUUUGGAAAGAAUUUCGGUCAGGGAUGAGCUCGCGGCCUAUCAGCUUGUUGGUGAGGUAAUGGCUCACCAAGGCGUCGACGGGUAGCCGGCCUGAGAGGGUGACCGGCCACACUGGGACUGAGACACGGCCCAGACUCCUACGGGAGGCAGCAGUGGGGAAUAUUGCACAAUGGGCGAAAGCCUGAUGCAGCAACGCCGCGUGAGGGACGACGGCCUUCGGGUUGUAAACCUCUUUUAGCAGGGAAGAAGCGAAAGUGACGGUACCUGCAGAAAAAGCGCCGGCUAACUACGUGCCAGCAGCCGCGGUAAUACGUAGGGCGCAAGCGUUAUCCGGAAUUAUUGGGCGUAAAGAGCUCGUAGGCGGUUUGUCGCGUCUGCUGUGAAAACUGGAGGCUCAACCUCCAGCCUGCAGUGGGUACGGGCAGACUAGAGUGCGGUAGGGGAGAUUGGAAUUCCUGGUGUAGCGGUGGAAUGCGCAGAUAUCAGGAGGAACACCGAUGGCGAAGGCAGAUCUCUGGGCCGUAACUGACGCUGAGGAGCGAAAGGGUGGGGAGCAAACAGGCUUAGAUACCCUGGUAGUCCACCCCGUAAACGUUGGGAACUAGUUGUGGGGUCCAUUCCACGGAUUCCGUGACGCAGCUAACGCAUUAAGUUCCCCGCCUGGGGAGUACGGCCGCAAGGCUAAAACUCAAAGGAAUUGACGGGGACCCGCACAAGCGGCGGAGCAUGCGGAUUAAUUCGAUGCAACGCGAAGAACCUUACCAAGGCUUGACAUAUACGAGAACGGGCUAGAAAUAGUCAACUCUUUGGACACUCGUAAACAGGUGGUGCAUGGUUGUCGUCAGCUCGUGUCGUGAGAUGUUGGGUUAAGUCCCGCAACGAGCGCAACCCUCGUUCUAUGUUGCCAGCACGUAAUGGUGGGAACUCAUGGGAUACUGCCGGGGUCAACUCGGAGGAAGGUGGGGAUGACGUCAAAUCAUCAUGCCCCUUAUGUCUUGGGCUUCACGCAUGCUACAAUGGCCGGUACAAAGGGCUGCAAUACCGUAAGGUGGAGCGAAUCCCAAAAAGCCGGUCCCAGUUCGGAUUGAGGUCUGCAACUCGACCUCAUGAAGUCGGAGUCGCUAGUAAUCGCAGAUCAGCAACGCUGCGGUGAAUACGUUCCCGGGUCU
This 1342-nucleotide ribosomal RNA is filed under the name uncultured bacterium. RNAcentral's name for it is "bacterial SSU rRNA". It matches the Rfam family "Bacterial small subunit ribosomal RNA", at positions 28 to 1381 of the family's 1533-position model. The record is from RNAcentral.